This is a long non-coding RNA of Carassius gibelio (silver crucian carp), 1356 nucleotides long. RefSeq lists it as uncharacterized. NCBI's taxonomy places the organism in Eukaryota, Metazoa, Chordata, Actinopteri, Cypriniformes, Cyprinidae. The transcript has 6 exons. The record is from RefSeq and is a predicted model, not a curated record.
UUUACACUGUUUUGGAAACGGUUUAGUGUCUUUGGAAAAGUCCGUUAUCAUUUUAGCAGUUUUCAGUCCUGCGCCAGCGGGGAGCAGAGUUGCCAUGGAAACGGGGCGUCAACACAAAAACCGUUACUGGCAAGCAGUAAUCUCCGUCUCUCGCUGCAGUUUACACUGUUUUGGGAGGACAGAAAGAAACUCUACAGAACAGAAGUGAAGCUCCAAGAUUUCAACAUUUCUGAAGGGAGAUUCUGACUUAGAAAUACAGGUGACCUGAAGAAGCUCAUGAAAAACAUGAAUAUGCCUUUUUCAGAAUACAUUUCACCAAUUUUAAGAAGUCCCUGACAUCAUAACCUUGUUUCCUUCUAAUGAACCUGGAACUGCAGAGUAAUUAUUGUUGUCUCUGUGUCAGCUUGUUUUGUUCCUGGAUUCUUCAGUGAUGAUGAGCAGAGUCUGAGUGAACCUGCUGUCAGACAGAUGGCCAUCCCAAGGUUUCUAGAGAUUACAGCAGCUCCAGACUGAAUCCAAACUCACUUUUGAAGACUUCAGAUGACACCAACGCUCACAAAGACUACAGACAACAACUGUACAUGAACACACAAAACAUUGGACACACAAAACAAAUAUUAUCCUUAUUUUGCCUGUAAGGGUAAAUUUGAUGAUUUUCAAACUGCUUUAUUGUAACGUCUCUUAUAUCUGUAAAUGAACAAUAUUUACUCUCUGAGUUAUGUGGACCUACAUGUCCCCUUUUAUUUGUAAGCAUCACUUUAAAAAUGUUGAAAGAUAAUGUUAAUAACUGAAUAACUCAAAACUGAAUACAAAACUAGAGACUUGUUUAGUAAGAUUUUAUCAGAAAAUAUUUUUUAACUUUUAUCAUGCAAUUUAAAACAUUUUAAUUGCUUAAUUAGUAUUGUUUGCCUGGUUUUAUUUUGUGUUUAUGUAACUCUUUUUAAAAAGUUCUUGGCAUAAAGUUCGCAUGCGAUGCUGACAGCACAGAACACAUGACUUUUUAUUAUGAACUAGAUGGUCUUCCCAGUGAGUCUUAGUCAUCUAUGGCUUUUUAAACUGUAACCUUGAAACAUGCAUUUCCUGUAAACCUACUUUGAAAUAAGUAUUGUCAAAAGGUGCUAUACUCAUACAACAUUUAACCAUGCAAGUACUGUAGUAAUGGUUAUUUUUGUUUUUACUAUGGGUUUACUGCAAAAGCUGUAGUAAAAUCAUGGUGAUUGUAGUAAAACUGUGGUUGAUUUUGUUUUUUCUAUGGUUUUACUGCAAAAGCUGUAGUAAAAUCAUGGUUUAUGUUCAAAAGACUACAAAUAAUCCCGAAUUAUCCACUUUUGAUCAAAGCAUCUGGUAAAUGUUAUU